This 772-nucleotide ribosomal RNA is filed under the name uncultured bacterium. Its description in RNAcentral is "bacterial SSU rRNA". It matches the Rfam family "Bacterial small subunit ribosomal RNA", at positions 8 to 796 of the family's 1533-position model. The record is from RNAcentral.
AGAGUUUGAUCAUGGCUCAGAACGAACGCUGGCGGCGUGCUUAACACAUGCAAGUCGAGUGCGCGCCUGUAGCAAUACAGGUGGCGCACGGCGCACGGGUGCGUAACACGUGGGUAACCUGCCCUUUGGUGGGGAAUAACUCCGCGAAAGCGGAGCUAAUUCCGCAUAAGAUCCGCAAGGAUGAAAGCCGAAAGGCGCCGAUGGAGGGGCCCGCGCCCGAUUAGCUAGUUGGUAGGGUAAUGGCCUACCAAGGCUUUGAUCGGUAGCUGGUCUGAGAGGAUGGCCAGCCACACUGGAACUGAGACACGGUCCAGACUCCUACGGGAGGCAGCAGUGGGGAAUCUUGCACAAUGGGCGAAAGCCUGAUGCAGCGACGCCGCGUGGGGGAUGAAGCAUUUCGGUGUGUAAACCCCUUUCGAUCCGGACGAAUACCUCGCAAGAGGGGUGACGGUACGGAUAUAAGAAGCCCCGGCUAACUACGUGCCAGCAGCCGCGGUAAGACGUAGGGGGCCAGCGUUGUUCGGAAUUACUGGGUGUAAAGGGUCAGUAGGCGGUGUGGCAAGUUGGGAGUGAAAUCUCUGGGCUCAACCCAGAGGCUGCUUCCAAAACUGCUGUGCUUGAGUGUGAGAGAGGCGCGUGGAAUUGCAGGUGUAGCGGUGAAAUGCGUAGAUAUCUGCAGGAACACCCGUGGCGAAAGCGGCGCGCUGGAUCACAACUGACGCUGAAUGACGAAAGCUAGGGGAGCAAACAGGAUUAGAUACCCUAGUAGUCC